AACGAACGCUGGCGGCAGGCUCAACACAUGCAAGUCGAACGAGAUCUUCGGAUCUAGUGGCAGACGGGUGAGGAACACGUGGGAACAUCCCUUUCAGUUCGGAAUAACGUUGGGAAACUAACGCUAAUACCGGAUACGUCCUUCGGGAGAAAGAUUUAUCGUUGAAAGAUUGGCCCGCGUCUGAUUAGCUAGUUGGUGAGGUAAUGGCUCACCAAGGCUACGAUCAGUAGCUGAUCUGAGAGGAUGAUCAGCCACAUUGGGACUGAGACACGGCCCAAACUCCUACGGGAGGCAGCAGUGGGGAAUAUUGGACAAUGGGCGCAAGCCUGAUCCAGCCAUGCCGCGUGAGUGAUGAAGGCCUUCGGGUUGUAAAGCUCUUUUAUCCGGGAAGAUAAUGACUGUGCCGGAAGAAUAAGCCCCGGCAAACUUCGUGCCAGCCGCCGCGGUAA
RNAcentral lists this ribosomal RNA (449 nucleotides) under uncultured bacterium. RNAcentral's name for it is "partial 16S ribosomal RNA". It matches the Rfam family "Bacterial small subunit ribosomal RNA", at positions 29 to 523 of the family's 1533-position model. The record is from RNAcentral.